RNAcentral lists this long non-coding RNA (1282 nucleotides) under Mytilus galloprovincialis (Mediterranean mussel). The record is from RNAcentral. Lineage: Eukaryota; Metazoa; Mollusca; Bivalvia; Mytilida; Mytilidae.
CUUUACCGGUAGUCUUAUGUCACUGUUUCUAAAAAUUUAGAAGACUAACCUAGUAAUAAUUGCUAAAAAGGUUAUUUAGGUGUCACUAAAUACUAUAUUUUCUUCAAAUGAAUUUUAAACAAUGCAGGCGUAUUGGAUUGAUUGUUGGUUGCUUAACGUCCAGUGACAAAUAUUUCAUGCACGACGAGGGGCAUAUUGGAUAAUUGAUGUAGCUUGCCGUUUACACAGCUUAUUAAUGUAAACACACCCUUGUCAGUUGUAAAUACAAAAUUUGGUCAUUGUCGGAAUAAAUAACAAAAAAUAUACAAGCUUUAAUUUAAAUACGAGAGUAAGGGGUUGUUAUUCGAGCUUUCCCCUUUUUCGUAGCGAGUAUUAAUACAUGUUAUAUUUUACUACAAUGUACACACUGAUGUUUUAAUAGAUAAUUUAUGAUUUACGCAUGAAAAAGUGUACCUUUAUUUUACCGACGUUUAUACUCUUCAAUAAAAUCGACAAUAUUUUAACGUAAACGUAAACAUUAAAUAUGCAUCUGUUUGCUUCCAUUAUUUAUAUCAUCUUCCAGCAUGUUCAUAUUUGGUUUGUAUAAACAACUGUUAACGUCAUAAUCCAACUGCGUUUCGUACGUCACACUUGAGCGUCCCCAUCGCACUUUAGAGUCCUACAUAUAUUUCCUCUGGUAUUCCCAACUUAUACAAUUGUCAUGUUGUUUUGAGAAGUUACAAAGGACUUUUAUUUGGCAAAAUUUCCGGAUUUUCUCGUUAUUCAGACUACAUAAACUGCAUAAAGAAACAUCAUCAUAAAAACAUUGUAAUACAAUGGCGGACUAAGACAUUGUAUUGUAUGAAAAAGAAGAUGAGGUAUAAAUGCCAAUGAGACAACUCCUCACAAGAGACCAACUGACACAGAUUAACAACUAUAGAUCAUUGUACAGCCUUUAACGAUGAGCAAAUCCCAUACCACAUAGUCAUCUAUAAAAGGCCCUGAAUUGACACAUGGAAAACAAUUCAAACAAGAAAACUAAUGGCCUAUUUUUUGUACAGAAUAGUCAAUGAAAAGCAAAUAUAAGGAAAACAAAUUCUAGUUAUCAAUUAUUAUAGGUAAAUUCCCAACACUAUUAUAAAAAUUUGUAAGGGUUCCGCGGAACCCAGUGUCUCGCCUACUCUUUCUGUUUAUGGCAAGCUCAACAAAAAUGAGGAAACAAAUCAAUAAAAUAUUCCUGUUGAUACUAUCUUUUGAUUGUAAGAAGCUUCUGUCCAAGUUUGGUAAAAAUCCAGGAUAGUUU